RNAcentral lists this ribosomal RNA (480 nucleotides) under uncultured bacterium. RNAcentral's name for it is "partial 16S ribosomal RNA". It matches the Rfam family "Bacterial small subunit ribosomal RNA", at positions 28 to 507 of the family's 1533-position model. The record is from RNAcentral.
GAUGAACGCUAGCGGCAGGCCUAACACAUGCAAGUCGAGGGGGAGGUUACUUUCGGGUAACUGAGACCGGCGUACGGGUGCGUAACGCGUAUACAAUCUGCCUUUCACUGGGGGAUAGCCCGAAGAAAUUUGGAUUAAUACCCCAUAGUAUAGUAAUACGGCAUCGUGAUGCUAUUAAAGCUUAGGUGGUGAAAGAUGAGUAUGCGUUCUAUUAGCUAGUUGGAGAGGUAACGGCUCCCCAAGGCGAUGAUAGAUAGGGGUUCUGAGAGGGAUGUCCCCCACACUGGUACUGAGAUACGGACCAGACUCCUACGGGAGGCAGCAGUGAGGAAUAUUGGACAAUGGUCGGAAGACUGAUCCAGCCAUGCCGCGUGCAGGAUGAAGGUCUUAUGGAUUGUAAACUGCUUUUGUAAGGGAAGAAUAAGGGCUACGCGUAGUUUGAUGACGGUACCUUACGGAUAAGCAUCGGCUAACUCCGUG